RNAcentral lists this ribosomal RNA (662 nucleotides) under Rastrococcus spinosus. Its description in RNAcentral is "partial 28S large subunit ribosomal RNA". The stretch from base 556 to 662 matches the Rfam family "Eukaryotic large subunit ribosomal RNA", at positions 2621 to 2727 of the family's 3401-position model. The record is from RNAcentral. Lineage: Eukaryota; Metazoa; Arthropoda; Insecta; Hemiptera; Pseudococcidae.
AGACGGGGAUAACGCGGCGCUCGUCGAGAGGCGGACGUCGUGCCUCGCCGACCUUGAAAUACCACUACUCGCAUCGUUUCCUUACUUACUCGGUGAUGCGGAGCGCGUGCUGUCCGGUCAGUGGUUCGGCCGCGUUGCGGCGCGACGUUGCGCGUCGUGUUUUAGCGGGCGCGUUGUACGCUCUUCGCACGGGCCGUUCGCCGUCUUCGUGUGUGCGGCGUGGGCCGGGUUUCGCGACCUACCCCGUCGUGCGCGCGCGAGCGAGUUCGGUCACGGCGUUGCCGGCGUGCGCGCGUUCGCUCGCGGCGUUUCGCGUUGUCGCGGCAGCGUUGUUGUCGGGCCCGUCGCGACCGUCAGUCACGAUCGAUUCCCGGUCGACUUAAGCGCGAUCAUCGCCGCCGGUCGUUGCGCACGGUCUACGGCGGCGGUCGGCGUGCGUGUGUGCGCGGGCACUUCGCGGUGUUCGGGCGCGCUCGUGCGCAGGCCGUCGCCCGCCGUGUUUGCAGCCUGGCGACGUCGCGUGAUCCGAUCCGAGGACACCGCCAGGUGGGGAGUUUGACUGGGGCGGUACAUCUGUCAAAGAAUAACGCAGGUGUCCUAAGGCCAGCUCAGCGAGGACGGAAACCUCGCGUAGAGCAAAAGGGCAAAAGCUGGCUUGAUCC